Small nuclear RNA from Mustela putorius furo (domestic ferret), 103 nucleotides. The record is from Ensembl. NCBI's taxonomy places the organism in Eukaryota, Metazoa, Chordata, Mammalia, Carnivora, Mustelidae.
AUACUAAAGCAGCACAUAUACUAAAACCUGAACUAUCUGGAGAUGAUUAGCAGGGCCCCUGGGCGAGAAAGACACACAAAUUCAUGAAGCACUCCCUAUUAAA